AACUUUCAACAAUGGGUCACUUGGUUCUGGCAUCGAUGAAGAACGCAGCGAAAUGCGAUAAGUAUUGUGAAUUGCAGAUUUCAGUGAAUCAUCGAAUCUUUGAACGCACAUUGCGCCCGCCAGUAUUCUUGCGGGCAUGCCUGUUCGAGCGUGAUUUCAACCAUCAAGCCCGAGGCUUGUGUUGGGGACCUGCGGCUGCCGCAGGCCCUGAAAAUCAGUGGCGGGCUCGCUAGUCACUCCGAGCGUAGUAAUACAUCUCGCUCUGGACGUGCAGCGUGUUCCGGCCGUUAAACACCUUAUUUACCCAAGGUUGACCUCGGAUCAGGUAGGAAGACCCGCUGAACUUAAGCAUAUCAAUAAGCGGAGGCU
This 369-nucleotide unclassified non-coding RNA is filed under the name uncultured Chaetomiaceae. RNAcentral describes it as "sequence contains ITS2". The stretch from base 1 to 154 matches the Rfam family "5.8S ribosomal RNA". The record is from RNAcentral. Lineage: Eukaryota; Fungi; Ascomycota; Sordariomycetes; Sordariales.